Molecule: ribosomal RNA, 252 nt
Filed under: uncultured bacterium
Lineage: Bacteria
Description: partial 16S ribosomal RNA
Rfam family: Bacterial small subunit ribosomal RNA
Source: RNAcentral
UACGGGGGGGUAAGCGUUGUUCGGAAUUACUGGGCGUAAAGGGCUCGUAGGCGGCCAACUAAGUCAUACGUGAAAUCCCUCAGCUUAACUGGGGAACUGCGUGUGAUACUGGAUGGCUUGGAUUUGGGAGAGGGAUGCGGAAUUCCAGGUGUAGCGGUGAAAUGCGUAGAUAUCGGGAGGAACACCAGUGGCGAAGGCGACUACCUGGCCCAUUCUUGACGCUGAGGCGCGAAAGCUAGGGGAGCGAACGGG